This 90-nucleotide non-coding RNA is filed under the name Riemerella anatipestifer. Its description in RNAcentral is "TPP sequence". It matches the Rfam family "TPP riboswitch aptamer (THI element)". Rfam says of the family: Vitamin B(1) in its active form thiamin pyrophosphate (TPP) is an essential coenzyme that is synthesised by coupling of pyrimidine and thiazole moieties in bacteria. The previously detected thiamin-regulatory element, thi box was extended, resulting in a new, highly conserved RNA secondary structure, the THI element, which is widely distributed in eubacteria and also occurs in some archaea. Analysis of operon structures identified a large number of new candidate thiamin-regulated genes, mostly transporters, in various prokaryotic organisms. Lineage: Bacteria; Pseudomonadati; Bacteroidota; Flavobacteriia; Flavobacteriales; Weeksellaceae. The record is from RNAcentral. RNAcentral also lists the same sequence under 1 other name.
AACAAAAGCACGGGGUGCCGUUAUGGCUGAGAUUAUACCCGAUACCUGAUUUGGAUAAUGCCAACGUAGGGAUUGCAAUGUGAAUCUUUG